CAGCGGACAGCUUCCGUCAUGGAGACUUGGGUCAAUCAUUAUCAUACCAGUCAAAGAAACCACCUAUCAUGGCUCGUGGAAUUAUGGGAAAACAGCUCACUUGUGAGAUCGCCGGAGGAUAUUGCUUGCGAAAGUGCCCUAGGUCAAAAACCCGCAGGACCAACGCAAGCUGCAUUGGUAACCUCAAAUGCUGCGUGAGCACAAAACAGCGCUCAAGACAUCUGCGAUAGAGGUUACAACGAAAGGGAAUGUGAUAAUUGCAAAAUGAGCUGGGUAUCAUUGUAUGGUCUAUCACGAAUCAUAGAAUAGUAGAGAUUUCAAACACAAUAUACGCUAAUAUCUUCAUAUAAAUUUACAGAAAGAUAAUAAAAGUACUGA
Long non-coding RNA from Rhipicephalus sanguineus (brown dog tick), 378 nucleotides. RefSeq lists it as uncharacterized. The transcript is spliced from 3 exons. NCBI's taxonomy places the organism in Eukaryota, Metazoa, Arthropoda, Arachnida, Ixodida, Ixodidae. The record is from RefSeq and is a predicted model, not a curated record.